This 440-nucleotide ribosomal RNA is filed under the name uncultured bacterium. RNAcentral's name for it is "partial 16S ribosomal RNA". It matches the Rfam family "Bacterial small subunit ribosomal RNA", at positions 338 to 795 of the family's 1533-position model. The record is from RNAcentral.
CCUACGGGAGGCAGCAGUGGGGGAUAUUGCACAAUGGGGGAAACCCUGAUGCAGCGACGCCGCGUGAGUGAAGAAGUAUUUCGGUAUGUAAAGCUCUAUCAUCAGGGAAGAUAAUGACAGUAUCUGACCAAUAAGCCCCGGCUAACUACGUGCCAGCAGCCGCGGUAAUACGGAGGGUGCAAGCGUUAUUCGGAUUUACUGGGUGUAAAGGGAGCGUAGACGGGAAAGUAAGUCUGGAGUGAAAGCCCGGGGCCCAACCAUCGAACUGCAUUGGAAACUGUGUAACUAGAGUACGGGAGGGGCAGGCGGAAUUCCUGGUGUAGCGGUAAAAUGCGUAGAGAUCAGGAGGAACACUCGCGGCGAAGGCGACCUGCUGGACUAAAACUGACGUUGAGGCGCGAAAGCGUGGGGAGCAAACAGGAUUAGAUACCCCAGUAGUC